This 440-nucleotide ribosomal RNA is filed under the name uncultured bacterium. Its description in RNAcentral is "partial 16S ribosomal RNA". It matches the Rfam family "Bacterial small subunit ribosomal RNA", at positions 338 to 795 of the family's 1533-position model. The record is from RNAcentral.
CCUACGGGUGGCUGCAGUGGGGAAUAUUGCACAAUGGGGGAAACCCUGAUGCAGCGACGCCGCGUGAGUGAAGAAGUAUCUCGGUAUGUUAAGCUCUAUCAGCAGGGAAGAAAAUGACGGUACCUGACUAAGAAGCCCCGGUUACCUACGUGCCAGCAGCCGCGGGCAUACGUCGGGGGCCAGCGUUAUCCGGAUUUACUGGGUGUAAAGGGCGCGUAGACGGGCAUACAAGUCAGAAGGGAAAGCCCAGGGCUCAACCGUGGGAGUGCUUUUGAAACUGCCGGUCUGGAGUGCAGGAGAGGUAGGCGGAAUGCCUGGUGUAGCGGUGAAAUGCGUAGAUAUUAGGAAGAACACCGGUGGCGAAGGCAGCUUACUGGACUGUAACUGACGUUGAGGCUCGAAAGCGUGGGUAGCGAACAGGAUUAGAUACCCGGGUAGUC